This 254-nucleotide ribosomal RNA is filed under the name uncultured bacterium. Its description in RNAcentral is "partial 16S ribosomal RNA". It matches the Rfam family "Bacterial small subunit ribosomal RNA", at positions 524 to 776 of the family's 1533-position model. The record is from RNAcentral.
UACGUAGGCCCCAAGCGUUAUCCGGAAUUACUGGGCGUAAAGUGCGCGUAGGCGUUUUUGUAAGUCGGUCGUUAAAUCUCACAGCUUAACUGUGAGACCGCGAGCGAUACUACAAGAAUUGAGUUUUGCAGGGGCUAGCAGAAUUUCUGGAGUAGGGGUGAAAUCCGUUGAUACCAGAAGGAAUACCAAUGGCGAAGGCAGCUAGCUAGGCAAUAACUGACGCUGAGAGCGCGAAAGCGUGGGGAGCAAACGGG